UUAAACGUCCAUACCGCGUUAAAUACUGCGGUUCUCGUCCGAUCACCGAAAUUAAGCAACGUCGGGCGCCGUUAGUACUUGGAUGGGUGGCCGCCUGGGAACACCGAGUGACAUUAGCU
Molecule: ribosomal RNA, 119 nt
Filed under: Melitaea cinxia (Glanville fritillary)
Lineage: Eukaryota; Metazoa; Arthropoda; Insecta; Lepidoptera; Nymphalidae
Source: RNAcentral